GAUGAAGAACGUAGCGAAGUGCGAUAAGUAAUGUGAAUUGCAGAAUUCCGUGAAUCAUCGAAUCUUUGAACGCAAAUUGCACUCUCUGGUAUCCCGGGGAGUAUGCCUGUUUGAGGGUCAGUGUUAAUAAAAAUCGGUGCGUUGCACUUUAUUGUGACGUUCUGGAGUUUGAGUUAUCUUAACUUUUAGGUUAAGAGGCUUAAAAUUGACCUUUUUUUUGUGCAUUAUAGACGUACAUAAAUUUUCUUUUAUUUGUCUUUUAAUGCCAAAAUUAUAUUAGAUGCGACCAUAUCGUGUGGUUUCGUGUCUAUAAAUUUUUCAUGAUUUGACCUCAAAUCAGGUAGGAGUACCCGCUGAACUUAAGCAUAUCAAUAAGCGGAGGA
This 383-nucleotide unclassified non-coding RNA is filed under the name soil metagenome. RNAcentral's name for it is "partial contains 5.8S ribosomal RNA, internal transcribed spacer 2, and large subunit ribosomal RNA". The stretch from base 1 to 120 matches the Rfam family "5.8S ribosomal RNA", at positions 35 to 154 of the family's 154-position model. The record is from RNAcentral.